GCCAGGCACGGUGGCACGUGCCUGUAGUCCCAGCUACUUGGGAGGCUAAGGCGGGAGAAUCACUUGAGCCCAGGAGGUUAAGCCUGCAGUGAUUGCACCACUAGACUCCAGCCUGGGCAACAAAGUGAGACUCUGCCUCUU
Non-coding RNA from Gorilla gorilla gorilla (western lowland gorilla), 141 nucleotides. It matches the Rfam family "Metazoan signal recognition particle RNA". From Rfam's summary of the family: The signal recognition particle (SRP) is a universally conserved ribonucleoprotein. NCBI's taxonomy places the organism in Eukaryota, Metazoa, Chordata, Mammalia, Primates, Hominidae. The record is from Rfam.